RNAcentral lists this ribosomal RNA (301 nucleotides) under uncultured bacterium. RNAcentral's name for it is "partial 16S ribosomal RNA". It matches the Rfam family "Bacterial small subunit ribosomal RNA", at positions 509 to 807 of the family's 1533-position model. The record is from RNAcentral.
CAGUCGCCGCGGUAAUACGUAGGUGGCAAGCGUUGUCCGGAAUUAUUGGGCGUAAAGGGCUCGCAGGCGGUUUCUUAAGUCUGAUGUGAAAGCCCCCGGCUCAACCGGGGAGGGUCAUUGGAAACUGGGAAACUUGAGUGCAGAAGAGGAGAGUGGAAUUCCACGUGUAGCGGUGAAAUGCGUAGAGAUGUGGAGGAACACCAGUGGCGAAGGCGACUCUCUGGUCUGUAACUGACACUGAGGCGCGAAAGCGUGGGGAGCAAACAGGAUUAGAUACCCGGGUAGUCCCUGUCUCUUAUAC